This is a long non-coding RNA of Atta colombica, 1247 nucleotides long. RefSeq lists it as uncharacterized. NCBI's taxonomy places the organism in Eukaryota, Metazoa, Arthropoda, Insecta, Hymenoptera, Formicidae. The record is from RefSeq and is a predicted model, not a curated record. The transcript has 2 exons.
AUAACGAUGGUCUUAAUGGCUGCGAAAUAAUUGCCACGACCGCGAUAACAUAUUUGAAUCGGAAAUUAUUAUGUUUUGUUGCUACUGCGCUGAGCGUACUUUGUGAUAUAAUUGUUACUAUUAUGUUGUACAAUAGUAACACAGAAAUAGUCUCUCAAACAAUUAUUUGCAGUCUCUUAAACCAAAAUCUAGAUAUUAUUAAUACUUAUUUUCUAUUUCAUUAUUUAAAGCAACUGAUAUGAGAUACUUUAAAUUAUUUACUAAUAAGAUAUUUCGUGCAGGAUAAUCGAAUAUCUUGUUUUGUUGUUUUGGUUUGUUAUAAAAAAAGAGUGAAUACAUGAUCGAUCAAUUACAUUGAAAUGGAAACAGAUACGGAAUUUUAUAGACGGAUAUGGAAUUACAAGAUCGAUAAGAAAAAGUCAAAUACAGUUACAAAAAAAGAAAUACAGUUUCAUAUUAUAAUCGCAGCACACAUUAAUUUAAAGGAAACUAUAUCAUUAUACAUUACUUCUACAGAAAUUUAUAAUUUGCUCCUUGACACAUAAUACACCCUUUUCUCUUACGAUAUUGCUCGUAUAUGAAUGUAAUGGAUACUAUGUCUAUGAUAUAGUGCAAGGGAAAAAAGAAAGAAAAAGAGAAUUGUCACAAUAUUCAAGAGUUCCCGAUUUUUUAUAUUAACCAUGAGUGAUAAUUAAGUUAUUUGAGAUGAGUGAGAACUGUGAUUUUUUAUAGUCUUGUAGAGAUAGCUUCAAGCAAAUUUUCAAGAGACAAGUUUACAAGAUUGCGCCGUAUACACAAAAUGUGAAGUUAAAGAAAUGUGUACCUAUUCUUCAAGACUGGUAAUCGUUGUGUUUUAAUAAAGAAGUCACAAAAAAGCAUAAUGUUUUGUAUUCGAGAAAGUACGAACUUUACAGAGGAUUUUUCUUUAUUAAGUCGAAAUCCAUCUAGCAGUUGAUUAUCUUACUCCGCUGAUGUGGUUGAUUUUGUUUCAUAACGAGAUGAAACAAAAUUCUUUUCAACAUUAUAAAAAUUCUACAAAAAGGUCAAUCUACAACCCAUUUUCGAUGUAUUUGUGAAAACGCAAGAUUUCGCCUGUUGUAUUCUUCUGAGGAGUAGCUGCAAAUGAAGUUUUCACGUUAUGCACUGCACAGCUAUUGUAUUCAAUUUACAAAAAUGAAGAAACAUAUAUUCAUCUACUUUAUACUUUGUAUCUGUGAUAUUGAAAUUACAUACCAUGUUAUCAUUUU